UGGGAUAUUAGCUCAGUUGGUAGAGCACUUGACUUUUAAUCAAGUUGUCCGGGGUUCGAAUCCCCGAUGUCUCAG
This 75-nucleotide transfer RNA is filed under the name uncultured Roseburia sp. RNAcentral describes it as "tRNA-Lys(ttt)". It matches the Rfam family "tRNA". From Rfam's summary of the family: Transfer RNA (tRNA) molecules are approximately 80 nucleotides in length. Their secondary structure includes four short double-helical elements and three loops (D, anti-codon, and T loops). Further hydrogen bonds mediate the characteristic L-shaped molecular structure. tRNAs have two regions of fundamental functional importance: the anti-codon, which is responsible for specific mRNA codon recognition, and the 3' end, to which the tRNAs corresponding amino acid is attached (by aminoacyl-tRNA synthetases). tRNAs cope with the degeneracy of the genetic code in two manners: having more than one tRNA (with a specific anti-codon) for a particular amino acid; and 'wobble' base-pairing, i.e. permitting non-standard base-pairing at the 3rd anti-codon position. The record is from RNAcentral. Lineage: Bacteria; Bacillati; Bacillota; Clostridia; Lachnospirales; Lachnospiraceae.